AUUGAACGCUGGCGGCAGGCCUAACACAUGCAAGUCGAGCGAGCGUCGCACGGGUGAGUAAUGUAUGGGGACUGCCCGAUAGAGGGGGAUAACUACAGGAAACGGUGUCUAAUACCGCACAUUGCCGGAUAACCCAUAUGGGAUUAGCUCGUAGGUAGGGUAAUGGCUUACCUAGGCGACGAUCCCUAGCUGGUCUGAGAGGAUGAUCAGCCACACUGGAACUGAGACACGGCCCAGACUCCUACGGAGGCAGCAGUGGGGAAUAUUGCACAAUGGGCGCAAGCCUGAUGCAGCCAUGCCGCGUGUAUGAAGAAGGCCUUAGGGUUGUAAAGUACUUUCAGUCGGGAGGCGUUACCGGCAGAAGAAGCACCGGCUAACUCCGUGCCAGCAGCCGCGGUAAUUC
This 403-nucleotide ribosomal RNA is filed under the name uncultured bacterium. RNAcentral's name for it is "partial 16S ribosomal RNA". It matches the Rfam family "Bacterial small subunit ribosomal RNA", at positions 30 to 526 of the family's 1533-position model. The record is from RNAcentral.